AGUGAACGCUGGCGGCAGGCCUAACACAUGCAAGUCGAACGGCAGCACAAGAGAGCUUGCUCUCUGGGUGGCGAGUGGCGGACGGGUGAGGAAUGCAUCGGAAUCUGCCCAUUUGUGGGGGAUAACCUCGGGAAACCGGGACUAAUACCGCAUACGACCUACGGGUGAAAGCAGGGGAUCUUCGGACCUUGCGCAGAUGGAUGAGCCGAUGCCGGAUUAGCUAGUUGGAGGGGUAAAGGCCCACCAAGGCGACGAUCCGUAGCUGGUCUGAGAGGAUGAUCAGCCACACUGGAACUGAGACACGGCCCAGACUCCUACGGGAGGCAGCAGUGGGGAAUAUUGGACAAUGGGCGAAAGCCUGAUCCAGCAAUGCCGCGUGUGUGAAGAAGGCCUUCGGGUUGUAAAGCACUUUUGUUGGGAAAGAAAAGCAGCCGGUUAAUACCCGGUUGUCAUGACGGUACCCAAAGAAUAAGCACCGGCUAACUUCGUG
This 490-nucleotide ribosomal RNA is filed under the name uncultured bacterium. Its description in RNAcentral is "partial 16S ribosomal RNA". It matches the Rfam family "Bacterial small subunit ribosomal RNA", at positions 29 to 507 of the family's 1533-position model. The record is from RNAcentral.